This 220-nucleotide long non-coding RNA is filed under the name Lathyrus oleraceus (garden pea). Its description in RNAcentral is "Pisum sativum (pea) long non-coding RNA (PSAT_LNC015049)". The record is from RNAcentral. Lineage: Eukaryota; Viridiplantae; Streptophyta; Magnoliopsida; Fabales; Fabaceae.
AAGGUACAAUUCUGCGAGCACGAGCAAUGAUUCCUGAAACAAUCAAGCACGUUAGAACUGAUACCUGCAAAAUAAAACACAAGUUAUCAUGAUCAUGCAUGAAUGCAGCGUUUAUCCACAUGAGGAACACUUUGUCUCUCGAUCCUGGUUUCAUCGAGACAAAUAGUAAUUCGGCAGCAAUAUUCUGACAUUCAGCAGUUGAUUUCAUCAUACAGAUCAG